Molecule: long non-coding RNA, 374 nt
Organism: Erigeron canadensis
Lineage: Eukaryota; Viridiplantae; Streptophyta; Magnoliopsida; Asterales; Asteraceae
Exons: 3
Source: RefSeq, a predicted model, not a curated record
ACCAACCAAACAGCCCCUCCUCCCUUCUUCUUCCUUUUGGUCGAUCACCACACACACACAACACAUACACAAUUCCAAAUUUCUCUCAAAUAUAUCUAUUUUAUCUCCAUCAAAAACCUGAUUUAUAUUGAAAUCAAAAGGGGAAUUUAAGGGAAGGAAUUAUUUAGUGGAUAAUCAAGGAAUCAUCAUCAACAUCAUUAUCAUCUUCAUCUUUUUCAUUUAUUUCUCAAGAACUUCAACUUUUGGUUUUGGAUAGACGUGGAGACUAGACUGCUCAUUUUCUCGGACUACUCAUACUUCUAGCUCUUUGACCGCUAAGGUAACCAACAGUAAGUCUUGGAUCAUCUUGACAUGAUAGGGCCAUUCUUUUGACU